GGAUGUGAGGGCGAUCUGGCUGCAACAUCUGCCAUCCAAAUGAUCACCAGGGCUGAUCUGACUGGCUAGGCAGCUGUCCCCUUCCUCCCUCACUGCUCCAUGUGUAUCCCUCCCAAAGCCACAUGUUCAGUAGGAGAGGACGGCCACCCCAAUUGAGGAUAAAAACACUACAUGCAC
Molecule: small nuclear RNA, 177 nt
Filed under: Fukomys damarensis (Damara mole-rat)
Lineage: Eukaryota; Metazoa; Chordata; Mammalia; Rodentia; Bathyergidae
Description: 7SK RNA
Rfam family: 7SK RNA
About the family: 7SK was discovered as an abundant small nuclear RNA in the mid-70s but a possible function has only recently been suggested. Two independent studies have found that 7SK RNA binds the CDK9/cyclin T complex (known as elongation factor P-TEFb).
Source: Rfam by way of RNAcentral